RNAcentral lists this ribosomal RNA (829 nucleotides) under uncultured bacterium. Its description in RNAcentral is "SSU rRNA". It matches the Rfam family "Bacterial small subunit ribosomal RNA", at positions 60 to 903 of the family's 1533-position model. The record is from RNAcentral.
AGUCGAGCGAUGAAGUUUCUUCGGAAAUGGAUUAGCGGCGAACGGGUGAGGAACACGUGAAGAAUCUGCCCUCCACUUUGGGAUAACACCGGGAAACCGGUGCUAAUACCGAAUAUUGAAACAUAAGUGGCAUCACUGAGUUUUGAAAGAAUUUCGGUGGAGGAUGACUUCGCGGCCUAUCAGCUAGUUGGUGAGGUAAUGGCUCACCAAGGCAACGACGGGUAGCCGGCCUGAGAGGGCGACCGGCCACACUGGGACUGAGACACGGCCCAGACUCCUACGGGAGGCAGCAGUGGGGAAUAUUGGGCAAUGGAGGAAACUCUGACCCAGCGACGCCGCGUGCGGGAUGAAGGCCUUCGGGUUGUAAACCGCUUUCAGUAGGGAAGAAGCGAAAGUGACGGUACCUACAAAAGAAGCACCGGCUAACUAUGUGCCAGCAGCCGCGGUAAUACAUAGGGUGCAAGCGUUGUCCGGAAUUAUUGGGCGUAAAGAGCUCGUAGGUCGUUUGUUACGUCGGAUGUGAAAACCUGAGGCUCAACCUCAGGCCUGCAUUCGAUACGGGCAAACUAGAGUUUGGUAGGGGAGACUGGAAUUCCUGGUGUAGCGGUGGAAUGCGCAGAUAUCAGGAGGAACACCAAUGGCGAAGGCAGGUCUCUGGGCCAAUACUGACACUGAGGAGCGAAAGUCUGGGGAGCGAACAGGAUUAGAUACCCUGGUAGUCCAGACCGUAAACGGUGGGCACUAGUUGUGGGAACUUCCCAGGGUUCUGCGACGCAGCUAACGCAUUAAGUGCCCCGCCUGGGGAGUACGAUCCCAAGAUUAAAACUCA